This 240-nucleotide long non-coding RNA is filed under the name Gossypium barbadense (sea-island cotton). Its description in RNAcentral is "long non-coding RNA (GBAR_LNC003155)". Lineage: Eukaryota; Viridiplantae; Streptophyta; Magnoliopsida; Malvales; Malvaceae. The record is from RNAcentral.
UGAUUUGGUGAGAAAAUAAUGCCUAAAAGCCUAGCUAUCAUUUCUUUCUUCUCCAUCUCUCUUCUCCACCAAAAAUAUCAGCAAAAAUGGAGUUUUGAAGGCUGAAAAUUUUCAGCAACUAAAAGCCCUCACAAGUAAGUGAUUCCCACACCCUUUGUUGAUGAUUUUUGCAUUUUUGAGACCCUUGAAGCAUGAGUUUUCUAAUGAGGGUGAUAUCUUGCAAAAUGGUCAAGAGUUUAG